This 505-nucleotide ribosomal RNA is filed under the name uncultured bacterium. RNAcentral describes it as "partial 16S ribosomal RNA". It matches the Rfam family "Bacterial small subunit ribosomal RNA", at positions 28 to 507 of the family's 1533-position model. The record is from RNAcentral.
GACGAACGCUGGCGGCGUGCCUAAUACAUGCAAGUAGAACGCACAGUUUAUACCGUAGCUUGCUACACCAUAGACUGUGAGUUGCGAACGGGUGAGUAACGCGUAGGUAACCUGCCUGGUAGCGGGGGAUAACUAUUGGAAACGAUAGCUAAUACCGCAUAAUAUUAAUUAUUGCAUGAUAAUGAAUUGAAAGGUGCAAUUGCACCACUACCAGAUGGGCCUGCGUUGUAUUAGCUAGUAGGUGAGGUAACGGCUCACCUAGGCGACGAUACAUAGCCGACCUGAGAGGGUGAUCGGCCACACUGGGACUGAGACACGGCCCAGCCUCCUACGGGAGGCAGCAGUAGGGAAUCUUCGGCAAUGGACGAAAGUCUGACCGAGCAACGCCGCGUGAGUGAAGAAGGUUGUCGGAUCGUAAAGCUCUGUUGUAAGAGAAGAACGGGUGUGAGAGUGGAAAGUUCACACUGUGACGGUAUCUUAACAGAAAGGGACGGCUAACUACGUG